This is a long non-coding RNA of Teleopsis dalmanni, 1306 nucleotides long. RefSeq lists it as uncharacterized. The transcript has 4 exons. Lineage: Eukaryota; Metazoa; Arthropoda; Insecta; Diptera; Diopsidae. The record is from RefSeq and is a predicted model, not a curated record.
UCAGUAAAUUGCAGUGCGUAUGCUGGUUCAUAAGUCAUUUUGUUAACAUUUUUGUUUAUUUAUAAAUUUUAAUAAUAAUAAUUAUAAUAAAUUAUUGGUGUUGUAAAACUAAAAGUUUUGGUGUUAUGUUCUUUAAUUUUCAUUAAAAUAAAUUAAACGAAAAUUGUCUUCACGCAAUGUUAGAAACAAAUAUAAAAAAUGAUUUGACAGUUGGUCUAACGGGACUAACGGGACUCCUGUCGAUUAGGACACAAAGCCUAAUAGUGUCUCACGAAACUGCGCUACUUUAAGUUUGGAAAUUGGAAAACAGAAUUGAGAACGUGUUUUUGUUUGAUUUUUAAAAUAUUUGGCAUUAGUGUUUCACAUUAAAAAUAUAUUUAUUAUUGCCAAUAAAUAAUGACUCCGUUGGACCUCAAAUGCAUAAACAUAAAGCACGCAAUAAAAAUGGGGACAAUAAUCAAAAUAGUUUGUCUCAAGUCAAAGGCAUUGAUAUUUCAAUGAUGGAAUGCGAUUUUAAAUUUUAUUAUUGUUUCCUUACAAUUGUUGCAUUCGUCACCGUUUCAGCACUGAAGAAUCAAAAUUUGACUAUAAAGAAAAUGAAUUAAAAAUUACUUCUCUGCAGUUACAAUAACCCAGGAAUUCCACAAAAACACAAAUAAAGUAUUUUUGGAAAGACUAUGCCAAUUUUCGAUGUCAGGACAUUUCACAUGUCGAACCGCUGAAUGAUGUAAAAUCGAAGAUUUGUUAAUUGAAGAUGAUUUCUGGUGAAAAUUGACGAUUAAAAUGAUUACACUUAAAUUACUGCAAAUAUAACCAGAUUGUAGUUAUAAUUUAAAUAUUGAAGAUGAAGAUGACGGUUGUGAAUAACUCCAUGCUAAUUAUCAGUAGCAAGUUGAUGUGUAACAUAUGCUACUAACUUGUAUUUUAUAAUUAUUAAAAAUGAUGUAUAUAUCUCUGCAGACAAGCUGCUCUAUAUUGUUGUCAUAUGCUGAUGCUUUAAAGCAAUGUGUAACUUUGAUAUACAUUAUGAAACCAUACUAUGAUCAAAAAACAAAUACUGAAUUUAGUGCUACGAAUUUAUUUCUCCAUUAGUCUCAUCCGCCGUAAUAUUUAAACAUUCCAGUCUUAAAGAAUGUUUAUAUGUAUUCCUGUUUAAAAGAUAUUGUUAUCUACUCACCAAGCAAGAGAUAAGACACAUUAGUUUUUUGGAAUAAUUAUUAAACUCAGUAUAAAAAAAUGAUUGAAUGCAACAACAACAUGAUCUUCAAAACAACAACAAAAAAUUAAGCAAGUCAAUCAAAGCUAA